UGAUUGCUUCCCUCCCCACAG
Molecule: microRNA, 21 nt
Filed under: Mus musculus (house mouse)
Lineage: Eukaryota; Metazoa; Chordata; Mammalia; Rodentia; Muridae
Description: mmu-miR-7067-3p
Source: miRBase by way of RNAcentral